RNAcentral lists this ribosomal RNA (556 nucleotides) under Paenibacillus xylanexedens. RNAcentral describes it as "bacterial SSU rRNA". It matches the Rfam family "Bacterial small subunit ribosomal RNA", at positions 44 to 579 of the family's 1533-position model. The record is from RNAcentral. Lineage: Bacteria; Bacillati; Bacillota; Bacilli; Caryophanales; Paenibacillaceae.
AUGCCUAUACAUGCAGUCGAGCGGAGUUGAUAGAGAAGCUUGCUUCCCUGAUACGUUAGCGGCGGACGGGUGAGUAACACGUAGGCAACCUGCCCUCAAGUUUGGGACAACUACCGGAAACGGUAGCUAAUACCGAAUAAUUGUUUUCUUCGCCUGAAGGAAACUGGAAAGACGGAGCAAUCUGUCACUUGGGGAUGGGCCUGCGGCGCAUUAGCUAGUUGGUGAGGUAACGGCUCACCAAGGCGACGAUGCGUAGCCGACCUGAGAGGGUGAUCGGCCACACUGGGACUGAGACACGGCCCAGACUCCUACGGGAGGCAGCAGUAGGGAAUCUUCCGCAAUGGGCGAAAGCCUGACGGAGCAAUGCCGCGUGAGUGAUGAAGGUUUUCGGAUCGUAAAGCUCUGUUGCCAGGGAAGAACGCUUGGGAGAGUAACUGCUCUCAAGGUGACGGUACCUGAGAAGAAAGCCCCGGCUAACUACGUGCCAGCAGCCGCGGUAAUACGUAGGGGGCAAGCGUUGUCCGGAAUUAUUGGGCGUAAAGCGCGCGCAGGCGGU